CCUGUUUUGCUCCCUGUUGCCUCCCAAAGGUCUCAGACAGCGCCUGGCACAUAGUAGAUACUCAAUGAGUGUCUGUUGAGUAAACAGUUACAGGUGAUAGGUGUGUACCGAUCUUCCACUGGAGUGCCAACACUUGCCUUCUGGACGUCAGGCUGCCUUAAAGGGUCAUGCACUGGCAGGGGCAGUGCGGACGAGCCACAGGAAAAACUAAUAUUCUUUUCCCUCGGAUUCCCUGAGAACUUCCUUCAGACUUUUAGGACAGAAGAGGGGUCUGUUAUCCUUAGAAGACGAUGAACUUCUUAAUAACCUCGAAUGGAGGCCUGCUUCUCACUGUCUCUGGCUUUGCUGUUACUCAUCUGCCCUGUUUUGCUCUGAGCAGUGCUGGUGACCUGGCAGAUGGGGUCUUCGGAGGCCCCGGGGGCUGAGCUGCUGUUCACAUGGUGACCCCAGGAAUCCGUCUUGGGUCGUCAGUGCCCAGGUCUCCCAAGAAUGGACUUGCUGCUGAUGCCUGAUCUCAGGACUCUAGUCUCCACACUCCCAGCCUUGACAUGUGUGUUCGUGCUUAGUCAGAGGUGAGAGACACAGAACCCAGACACACCAAGGGAAAGCUCCAGGAGAAGACAGAGGCCGAGACACACUCUUCCUUGGGCUUCCUGGGAGAGCCAGCUCUGCUGACGUGUGGGUUUCAGGCUUCUGGCCUCCGCUAAAGUGGAGAAGACGUUGCUCUAAGUCAACCGGUUUGUGUGAUGUGUUACAG
Long non-coding RNA from Bos taurus (domestic cattle), 757 nucleotides. Lineage: Eukaryota; Metazoa; Chordata; Mammalia; Artiodactyla; Bovidae. The record is from Ensembl.